UCCACAGAUUUAUCUAUAUGCCAAAUGGGAAUACAAGGGACAUAGGAGAAAGACUUAUUUUUUUCCUGAGGAGAUACUUUCUUUAGUCUGCUACCAGCAAGCAAAGAAGAGAAUGCAACUGAAUCAUGAUCAUUUUGGAAGCUCCAAACAAAUGCAAACAAACAAAAACCAAAGCAACUAUAAUUUCUUUUAUGAAUGCGUAGAAUAAUUUACAGCCCCCUCAUGGCUGGAAAUGGACCAUAUCUAAACUGACAUGCUUGGACUGCCCCUUUUCUACACCUGUUGAUUCUUAUCCACCACAGGAAAGUUUCCCGUGGACUCCUCAUAUGCCUGAAAUGGCUCUACUCACGUCCAUGUUAGUGAUGAGGAAACUGGUAUUCAGAGAGCCUGAGCGCCUUGAGUCUGCAGAUGGAGCAGGAUCCGACGUUCAUUCCAUUUGACACCAAGACAGAUCUGUGUGAAGAAAUAAAACAUGACACCACUUAAAGCUGCCUCUGUUCCUGCCAGCUGUAAUUCAGGGUCAGGUGGUAGAGCUUGAGGUAAAGGGCAGUCAGAGAAAAGUUAAAUGGCUUCACAUGAAAUACUCUGCUUUGUCAGGGGCAAGCACAGGAGGCCUUGGCUGUGGGGUCUUGUGGAGUAAGGAGAGAGGCCGACUUCUUCACCUUGUCAGUGGAAAGCUCCAAGAGGACUUCUUGUGGAUGCACCUUAUAUAGGGCAGAUUAAUUAAAUCUGGCUCUGUCCCACCAAAAAAGAGAUUCUAAGUCACUUUAGGAGAGAGUCAACUGAGUGUUUAAUAUCACAAGCCUUAGCUAUGGUCAAACUUGGCUCUGUUUGUGGUUCUGGGGCACACACUGGUGCUCUGUUUGAUUUCUCUAAGCCUCAAAUUCUUCAUGGGUAAAUUGGAGAAUAAAACUAACAAUUCUUUUGAGAAUUAAUUGAGAUACUACAUGUAAAAGGGCUUAAUUCAGUGCCUAGUGGUGUUAUAAUGGCUACUAUCAUCUUUAGGUAAUUACUAAGCUGUAGUGAAAAGGACACAAAUUUUGGGGUUAAACUGAUGUGGGUUCAAACCCCUCUCCUACCAAUUACCCAUUGUAUGAAACUGGGCAGAUUACUUACCCUUCUCUGAGCCACAUAUUCUCUGUGUAUUGGGUCUAUUACUACUCUAUGGGUCUUAGCAAAAUGUAUUUUUGUUUAAGCUGCUCAUCAGCCAUGUAAGGGGAAAAAUGAGUGCUUUCAGCCUUGGAGACUAUACUACCUUGCCUUGCUCAACGUUCUCCCAAGCACUUUGCUGACAUAUAAGUCACACUCUGUUCACUUACGCCUUCUAUUUUUAAACAUUUACCAUUUAAAUAAAAUACACAAAAUUACAGAAAAACAAAGCAUAUACUCAUACACCCAACACAAAGAUUAAAGAAAUAUUAACAUUUUCAUAUUUUGCAGAUGUCUGUCUUUCUAAGAAAUAAAACAUUAAGAUAGAGUUAAAA
Molecule: non-coding RNA, 1484 nt
Organism: Vicugna pacos (alpaca)
Lineage: Eukaryota; Metazoa; Chordata; Mammalia; Artiodactyla; Camelidae
Source: RefSeq, a predicted model, not a curated record